This 68-nucleotide transfer RNA is filed under the name Caulobacter phage CcrBL10. Its description in RNAcentral is "tRNA-Ala". The record is from RNAcentral. Lineage: Duplodnaviria; Heunggongvirae; Uroviricota; Caudoviricetes; Jeanschmidtviridae.
GGGGUAUGCGCAGGGCGCAGCCAUCCUUUGCAAGGACGGCGGGGUGGGUUCGAGUCCCACAUACUCCA